CUCAUUUGGUAGUCUGAGGGUUGACCAUAAUAUUCCCAAUACCCACUUUCUUAGAUACCUGCAAACUUGCAGCUGUGCCAAAAAAAAACAAUUUCCCCUCAUUUCCAUUGGAGCCCACUAAGUGUCAAGUCGAGAGGUGCUUAGAUCUUAACCCUUAUUUGAAGGGCACAAUUUCCCCUCAUUUACAUUGGAGCCCACUAAGUGUCAAGUCGAGAGGUGCUUAGAUCUUAACCCUUAUCUGAAGGGCACAAUUUCCCCUCAUUUACAUUGGAGCCCACUAAGUGUCAAGUCGAGAGGUGCUUAGAUCUUAACCCUUAUCUGAAGGGCACAAUUUCCCCUCAUUUCCAUUGGAGUCCACUAAGUGUCAAGUCGAGAGGUGCUUAGAUCUUAACCCUUAUCUGAAGGGCACAAUUUCCCCUCAUUUACAUUGGAGCCCACUAAGUGUCAAGUCGAGAGGUGCUUAGAUCUUAACCCUUAUCUGAAGGGCACAAUUUCCCCUCAUUUACAUUGGAGCCCACUAAGUGUCAAGUCGAGAGAUGCUUAGAUCUUAACCCUUAUCUGAAGGGCACAAUUUCCCCUCAUUUCCAUUGGAGCCCACUAAGUGUCAAGUCGAGAGGUGCUUAGAUCUUAACCCUUAUCUGAAGGGCACAAUUUCCAGAUUAUACAACAUAAUACAGAACAUUAAUCCGCCUUCCUUGGCAAAUACAACAUCUACAUGGGAGCCAGACAUGUGUGGCGAGC
Oncorhynchus tshawytscha (Chinook salmon) is the source of this 741-nucleotide long non-coding RNA. NCBI's taxonomy places the organism in Eukaryota, Metazoa, Chordata, Actinopteri, Salmoniformes, Salmonidae. The record is from Ensembl.